RNAcentral lists this long non-coding RNA (475 nucleotides) under Sinocyclocheilus anshuiensis. RNAcentral describes it as "lncRNA (ENSSANG00000003771.1)". Lineage: Eukaryota; Metazoa; Chordata; Actinopteri; Cypriniformes; Cyprinidae. The record is from RNAcentral.
GAGAAAUUGUGAGAGUAUUUUCAGCAUUGAUGACAUUGUCGUUCCUAGGUCUCUGUUUUCAUCAGUGAAAGUGGAAAGACUUAACUAUAAGAACAUUUUGACACCCAGUUGGCGAAAGGUGGAUAUUUUGCCUUUAUCGAAAAGAGAGGAGGAUGAGCAAGAGGAAGGGAUGUCAGAAGCAAUAGAAGAUGAAGAUUUCUUACAGAGGCACCAGAGUGAUGAGCGUAGAGAGAAACUACGCUGGUCCUACUGGGAUCAGGACAGAAGACACAGGAUCAGGUCAUCCAGGAAAAUCUGCUUUUCUGUAUCUGUGAGAGAGCAUCCUGCUCACUGCCACCCACCUGUACAUUCUCCUGUUCCCUUCACCUGGACCUUCAGUACUUCUGAAGAUUCAUCAGAAGCCAGCGUGGAUGAAAAAGAGCCAACGCAACCAUGGAGGAGACGUACGUUCCCCCUGACUGGUGAAGAUGAGGAA